GAAAUGCGAUAAGUAGUGUGAAUUGCAGAAUUCAGUGAAUCAUCGAAUCUUUGAACGCACAUUGCGCCCUUUGGUAUUCCUUAGGGCAUGCCUGUUCGAGCGUCAUUUAAACCCUUCAAGCUCAGCUUGGUGUUGGGUGACUGUCCGCCGCUUCCGGGCGUGGACUCGCCCCAAAUCCAUUGGCGGCCGGUACGUAGGCUUCGAGCGCAGCAGAAACGCGAACUCGGGCCCGCGGUGUCGGCUCCCAGAAGCCAUCUCUUUUAAUUUGACCUCGGAUCAGGUAGGGAUACCCGCUGAACUUAAGC
RNAcentral lists this unclassified non-coding RNA (305 nucleotides) under plant metagenome. Its description in RNAcentral is "partial contains 5.8S ribosomal RNA, internal transcribed spacer 2, and large subunit ribosomal RNA". The stretch from base 1 to 105 matches the Rfam family "5.8S ribosomal RNA", at positions 50 to 154 of the family's 154-position model. The record is from RNAcentral.